Molecule: long non-coding RNA, 3461 nt
Organism: Gallus gallus (chicken)
Lineage: Eukaryota; Metazoa; Chordata; Aves; Galliformes; Phasianidae
Source: Ensembl
AGCUUUUUGUGAAGUCAGAGGAGUCUUGUCCUGGGAAGACUGCCAAGACAGAGCAACCUGGUCAGAGAUGGAUGUCUAUACUGUAGCUUUUUUGGACUCCAACAGGUGAAUCACAGCUGCAGGGUCUUUGCCUGAACCUUACUCAGAAGAUUAGUAUUUUCCAGAUUUCAUUGUGGCUAGAAGCCAUGUUCCUCCAUUCUGAAGGAUCCCAGGAUGGAAUAUGAUUGUCUGGAUUUACCUUAUAACAUUGGAGUCUUCAUCUGAACUUUCCCUCAAGCUACUUUUGGUUGUCAACUACUUAUGACUGUAGUUCAAAGCUCUAUUAGCUCGGUCCCUGAUUCUUUCUGGAGUAUACCUGUGGACUGCAUCCCUUGAAUAUCACCUGAAUAGCUGGCAGUGACCUUAGUUAUCCUGUGUACGAGCAGCCUGCUUCCUGAACAUCAAUUCAUGAGAAAGUGAUGAAGUGUUUGAACAAUCAGCUAUAAAAUGUGGUGUAUCUUCUCUCUGGUCAGUUUUGAACUCACUGUUGAAUAACGGAGUGCACCAAGUCUCAGUGUUGAAAUUCUCCUUUGCUAAAUUCAGGCUGCUAAUAAGCUUCAAUGAAAAACACUGGAAAAUCAAGAUCUUUAAUGUUCCUACACACCCAGGAUAAAGGAGAAGCUGCUGAUAUAAGAAUAUGGGCUUGGACUGUUUGAAGACGUGUGAUGAGUCAGAAUCUGUACUUCUGCUGUUCUACAAGAACUGCUGCCGAAUGCUAAGUCUUGCCAACUGUGAAAUUGCUAUUUCUGCUUCAUAAUGUUUUCUAUCAAAACAGAAUGUAGAGAAAAGGUAAUAACUGGAUUUUUAGAACAAAUCAGACUGCUUGUCAGGACUUUUUCCUUUGGUCUCCAGCCAAAAGUCUCAAUUUAAAAAACUUCAGACUUUAUAUCAUCUCAACUGGCACAAAUGUUUUUAUUUUUCUCCAAUUCACACGAUAAUUUGAUUGAAUUGGUUGUACUACUCUUUUGACAAAAAGGGGCAUAUUCCUUUAAAAAUAUGCUUGCACAGUUAAGUCUUUUAUUUGGUAGAAGUAAUGGCUACUUCCAACAGUCUUAAAAGUAAAUUUAGGGUUUGAUUUUUUAGACUAUGGGAUUUUCAUAGUAAGGUUUUGGCAAUGGUGGGCUGCAGGGCCUACCAGCUGUCCCAUGUCAGAUCAGAGACUGCUCCAACUGCUCCAAAGGGACUCACUGUUGCCAGAGCUGAGCCAUGAGUGAUGCUGGGUGUGCUCUGGGGGAGCAGAUUUUAAAAAGCAAGAAAGAGACCAUGGCUAACAUGGAAUGUACAGAGUAUAUUUCUGUCAGUUAGACCUGUCUAAAAGCCUUACUGAGCAAAGUACUUGGGCUCUGUUAUCCAGUGUCUGACCAGUGAGUUUAUCAAGCCUGUUUAACUGCCCAAGUACUUUGGCUGAGGUGGGGUAUAGGGCAUCAAUUAGUUUUUGUAGUGUUUCAUGCUUUCUGAUACAUGCAUUUGCCCACUGCUUUGUGAAGACCAUCAAUCCAAUGAAGAACAGAAGGUAUAAGAGUCUGUUUCCUAUUUUAAGAAUUUUGUCCUCAGAAUCUGAAAUGCAACCAGUACUGCACAACAAAGGGACUGCUUUACCCCUCUCUGGUGCGGAUUCCACUCCGUGACAAUAUAUCAUAGUGAAAGUAACCUAUAACUCAGAUUUCCAGAGAUCUGCAUAGUGCAUCUAGUAGCUUUGAGCCUACUGAUGAGCAACGUAUCAUUGCCAGAAGAUUUCUGUGGAGAGGGAUUCUCAUUCCACUUUAAAAAUGAAAAGGUAAAUCAUAUACAGAUACUUAAAGGAAAGAGCAUUAAGCUAGCAAAAAUGAAUACUGAGCAACUAACAUAGGACACAGUAAAGCUUUCUUCAUAAGCCUAAUUCAUCCUGCUGUUCCUGUGCAUUGUCUUUUCCUCAGGUUUUCUACUCAUACAAUAUAAAACAUGGAUCUGAGUUAGUUAUGUUAAAAAAGUUAUUGUCUGUAGAGCUUGUCAAAGCCAAAAAAUAUAUGGUAAUUAAGGCAAAGGACUGUAAGAAGAGAUGUGGCACUGCUGAUGUGAAGGUGGUGGUAUGCUGUCAUGGAGAUAUGGACUCCUAGAGAAUAUGCCAAAGAGAUCAUCUACAGUGGCAGAAAAAUUGCUUCAACCAAGAUUUUUCAUAUUUGUCAUCUGCUUGAUCUCUCUACAUUUCUUAUUCCCAGAUCCAAGGUGAUUAUGAUCCACGAAUUCCAAAAGCUUUGGCACAAACAGCACCAUCUGAGCUUGCUAGAACAUGUUCUUAUAGGAACCUGUCAGAGCCUACAUAAUUGUAAAAAUUAUUAAAUAUUGAAUCCCUGGAAACACAAAGACUUCCAGACUACAAUCCCAAUUUCCAUUUUUAAUCUCAGUGUGUUUAAGUAUCUACCAUUUUAUCUUCUUGAAGAGAUGAGAUAUAUAAAUUUCUUCAUAUUUGAAAAGACUUUACAAUCAGUAGGAGCUUAUGUGACAUACAUUCAUAGACAUUAUAUCUGUCAUUCCUCAUCGUAAGCUUAAGUACUGUGGAAUGUAGGGGUGAGUAUGAAAACAGAGGCUAGAAUAAUUAAGACAGAAGAUAAUGGCAUAAGUAGUAUUUCACCUUUUGGCCACCUGUUGCAACACAGCCAAAGCCAACAGUGACUGAAAGUCAUUAUCAUUUGACAGCUGCUUCAUGAGCUUUGUAAAAUGACUACAUAAUUGUUUUCAGCCUCUUUCAUAGUGGACAGGUGUCCAUACCAUGAUUAGUGUUAAUUGGCAAUGUUGUUGGCCGUCACAAGAGGAAAACUAAUGAAAGAAUGAUGUGGACUGGAAUGAUUUUUGCAGACCCAAGAGCAAUAUGCCUGUCUGUGUGCACUGCCUGGGGACAGAAAGUCAGCUCUGUGCCCCUCCAAACAUACUGUUUACAUGAAUUCUCAUUCUUCUAUGAGAAAAAAGCAAUGAUGGAUUUAGAAUGGAAUUGAGACUAACAGUGGAAGAAAGAUACGGCUUAGAAAAUUUGAAAUGUGUCUUGAUCAAUAUUUGUUUGAUUUUAACCUGGCUAGAAAGCAAAGUUUGGUUUGAGAAAGAGGGACAAACAUGGAGAAAGAGCUUUAAGAAUGCAACACCUGAAGGAGAACUGAGGAGUCCCCUUUCACUAAAGAAUAACAACUAGUUGGGAUGUCAUGUAGUCUCUGUUUCUUUAAGGUUGUUGUCAGCUUUGUAACAUGACCUACUGUGUGUUUUUCUCAUAACCAAAGUGCUUUUGACUGCCAAAUGUGGCUUCGUAUCUACAUAUCUAUUGAGGUAAUACAGAACUGUCAGUAGUUAUGAGACCAGAUUUUGCUUCAUGCCUUCCAGGUUGAACACUUGGACACUUAUAAAAUGAUUAGGGAAGAACAUAUGUGGCAGAUGCAAUAAAUUCUCUACUCAUU